CAGCAGUAGCCGCGGUAAUACGGAGGGUGCAAGCGUUAAUCGGAAUUACUGGGCGUAAAGCGCACGCAGGCGGUCUGUCAAGUCGGAUGUGAAAUCCCCGGGCUCAACCUGGGAACUGCAUUCGAAACUGGCAGGCUAGAGUCUUGUAGAGGGGGGUAGAAUUCCAGGUGUAGCGGUGAAAUGCGUAGAGAUCUGGAGGAAUACCGGUGGCGAAGGCGGCCCCCUGGACAAAGACUGACGCUCAGGUGCGAAAGCGUGGGGAGCAAACAGGAUUAGAUACCCCUGUAGUCCCUGUCUCUUAUAC
Molecule: ribosomal RNA, 304 nt
Filed under: uncultured bacterium
Lineage: Bacteria
Description: partial 16S ribosomal RNA
Rfam family: Bacterial small subunit ribosomal RNA
Source: RNAcentral